GACGGAGGAGGCAAGCGUUGUUCGGAAUUAUUGGGCGUAAAGGGCGCGUAGGCGGAUCGGCAUGUCUGGCGUGAAAUCUCCACCGCUUAACGGGGAGAGGUCGCUGGAAACUACCGAUCUGGAGUUCGGCAGAGGGCCAUGGAAUUCCAGGUGUAGCGGUGGAAUGCGUAGAUAUCUGGAAGAACACCGGUGGCGAAGGCGGUGGCCUGGGCCGAAACUGACGCUGAGGCGCGAAAGCCAGGGGAGCAAACGGG
RNAcentral lists this ribosomal RNA (254 nucleotides) under uncultured bacterium. RNAcentral describes it as "partial 16S ribosomal RNA". It matches the Rfam family "Bacterial small subunit ribosomal RNA", at positions 524 to 776 of the family's 1533-position model. The record is from RNAcentral.